RNAcentral lists this ribosomal RNA (405 nucleotides) under uncultured bacterium. RNAcentral describes it as "partial 16S ribosomal RNA". It matches the Rfam family "Bacterial small subunit ribosomal RNA", at positions 30 to 526 of the family's 1533-position model. The record is from RNAcentral.
AUUGAACGCUAGCGGGAUGCUUUACACAUGCAAGUCGACCGAGUGGCGGACGGGUGAGUACUAUAUCGGAACGUGCCCAGUAGCGGGGGAUAACUACUCGAAAGAGUAGCUAAUACCGCAUACGAUUGGAUCGGCCGAUAUCGGAUUAUCUAGUUGGUUGGGUAAAGGCUCACCAAGGCAACGAUCCGUAGCUGGUUUGAGAGGACGACCAGCCACACUGGGACUGAGACACGGCCCAGACGCCUACGGGAGGCAGCAGUGGGGAAUUUUGGACAAUGGGGGAAACCCUGAGCCAGCCAUCCCGCGUGUAUGAGAAGGCCUUCGGGUUGUAAAGUACUUUUGGCAGAGAAGCGGUAUCUGCAGAAUAAGCACCGGCUAACUACGUGCCAGCAGCCGCGGUAAUAC